This is a long non-coding RNA of Musca vetustissima, 165 nucleotides long. RefSeq lists it as uncharacterized. The transcript has 2 exons. The record is from RefSeq and is a predicted model, not a curated record. NCBI's taxonomy places the organism in Eukaryota, Metazoa, Arthropoda, Insecta, Diptera, Muscidae.
GGCCUUUACAUCGAAACCUUGGCUGAAAUGGUUCUUCAUUUUGGCCAUUAUAGCCUGUGUGGUGGCCUUUAAUAUCCUGAUCAUUAUGUGCAUCUAUGCUAGGAGGAAAAUAUCCUAUAAUGUGGAUCAUAAAGAAAAUCAAUUGGGUCUUAUAAAAUUAUCAGC